RNAcentral lists this transfer RNA (73 nucleotides) under Felis catus (domestic cat). It matches the Rfam family "tRNA". Rfam says of the family: Transfer RNA (tRNA) molecules are approximately 80 nucleotides in length. Their secondary structure includes four short double-helical elements and three loops (D, anti-codon, and T loops). The record is from Rfam by way of RNAcentral. Lineage: Eukaryota; Metazoa; Chordata; Mammalia; Carnivora; Felidae.
GCCUGGCUAGCUCAGUUGGUAGAGUAUAUGACUCUAGGUCGUGGGGUUGUGAGUUCAAGCCCCAUGUUGGACA